Molecule: non-coding RNA, 766 nt
Organism: Salvelinus sp. IW2-2015
Lineage: Eukaryota; Metazoa; Chordata; Actinopteri; Salmoniformes; Salmonidae
Source: RefSeq, a predicted model, not a curated record
AGGCGUGGAAGAAUACCCUCAAUGGAAGAAUAGGCGUGGAAGAAUACCCUCAAUGGAAGAAUAGGCGUGGAAGAAUACCCUCAAUGGAAGAAUAGGCGUGGAAGAAUACACUCAAUGGAAGAACAGGUGUGGAAGAAUACCCUCAAUUGAAGAAUAGGCGUGGAAGAAUACCCUCAAUGGAAGAAUAGGCGUGAAAGAAUACCCUCAAUGGAAGAAUAGGCGUGGAAGAAUAACCUCAAUGGAAGAAUACCCUCAAUGGAAUAAUAGGCGUGGAAGAAUACCCUCAAUGGAAGAAUAGGCGUGGAAGAAUGCCCUCAAUGGAAGAAUAGGCGUGGAAGAAUGCCCUCAAUGGAAGAAUAGGCGUGGAAUAAUACCCUCAAUGGAAGAAUAGGCGUGGAAGAAUACCAUCAAUGGAAGAAUAGGCGUGGAAGAAUGCCCUCAAUGGAAGAAUAGGUGUGGAAUAAUACACUCAAUGGAAGAAUAGGCGUGGAAUAAUACCCUCAAUGGAAGAAUAGGCGUGGAAGAAUACCCUCAAUGGAAGAAUAGGCGUGGAAUAAUACCCUCAAUGGUAUUGUAGAUACCCCUACCUGCAUUCUCCAUCAAAUAAACAGAGCAAGUGCACUUCUGUAAGGUCAAUUGUUAUUUGCAUUGUACUCAGUCCGUCCAUUAGAUUCACAACACCUCCUUGUGUUAAGCAAUUCUAAUCAGUAUCCGAGAUUUAAGGAAAUUUUAUGGUAAGGUGCAUUACAGUGGAAUGGAACAUAAC